Molecule: ribosomal RNA, 1486 nt
Filed under: metagenome
Description: bacterial SSU rRNA
Rfam family: Bacterial small subunit ribosomal RNA
Source: RNAcentral
AGAGUUUGAUCCUGGCUCAGGAUGAACGCUGGCGGCGUGCUUAACACAUGCAAGUCGAACGAAGCACCUUGAUUUGAUUCUUCGGAUGAAGAUCUUGGUGACUGAGUGGCGGACGGGUGAGUAACGCGUGGGUAACCUGCCUCAUACAGGGGGAUAACAGUUAGAAAUGACUGCUAAUACCGCAUAAGACCACAGCACCGCAUGGUGCAGGGGUAAAAACUCCGGUGGUAUGAGAUGGACCCGCGUCUGAUUAGGUAGUUGGUGGGGUAACGGCCUACCAAGCCGACGAUCAGUAGCCGACCUGAGAGGGUGACCGGCCACAUUGGGACUGAGACACGGCCCAAACUCCUACGGGAGGCAGCAGUGGGGAAUAUUGCACAAUGGGGGAAACCCUGAUGCAGCGACGCCGCGUGAGCGAUGAAGUAUUUCGGUAUGUAAAGCUCUAUCAGCAGGGAAGAGAAUGACGGUACCUGACUAAGAAGCACCGGCUAAAUACGUGCCAGCAGCCGCGGUAAUACGUAUGGUGCAAGCGUUAUCCGGAUUUACUGGGUGUAAAGGGAGCGUAGACGGAGUGGCAAGUCUGAUGUGAAAACCCUGGGCUCAACCCCGGGACUGCAUUGGAAACUGUCAAUCUAGAGUACCGGAGAGGUAAGCGGAAUUCCUAGUGUAGCGGUGAAAUGCGUAGAUAUUAGGAGGAACACCAGUGGCGAAGGCGGCUUACUGGACGGUAACUGACGUUGAGGCUCGAAAGCGUGGGGAGCAAACAGGAUUAGAUACCCUGGUAGUCCACGCUGUAAACGAUGAAUACUAGGUGUGCGGGGACUGACCCCCUGCGUGCCGCAGUUAACACAAUAAGUAUUCCACCUGGGGAGUACGAUCGCAAGGUUGAAACUCAAAGGAAUUGACGGGGGCCCGCACAAGCGGUGGAUUAUGUGGUUUAAUUCGAAGCAACGCGAAGAACCUUACCAGGGCUUGACAUCCUACUAACGAGAUAGAGAUAUGUUAGGUGCCCUUCGGGGAAAGUAGAGACAGGUGGUGCAUGGUUGUCGUCAGCUCGUGUCGUGAGAUGUUGGGUUAAGUCCCGCAACGAGCGCAACCCCUAUUGUUAGUUGCUACGCAAGAGCACUCUAGCGAGACUGCCGUUGACAAAACGGAGGAAGGUGGGGACGACGUCAAAUCAUCAUGCCCCUUAUGUCCUGGGCUACACACGUAAUACAAUGGCGGUCAACAGAGGGAUGCGAAACCGCAAGGUGGAGCGAACCCCUAAAAGCCGUCCCAGUUCAGAUUGUGGGCUGCAACCCGCCCACAUGAAGUCGGAAUCGCUAGUAAUCGCAGAUCAGCAUGCUGCGGUGAAUACGUUCCCGGGCCUUGUACACACCGCCCGUCACACCAUGAGAGUCGGGAACACCCGAAGCCUGUAGCCUAACCAUUCGGAGGGCGCAGUCGAAGGUGGGUUCGAUAAUUGGGGUGAAGUCGUAACAAGGUA